This 789-nucleotide ribosomal RNA is filed under the name uncultured Thermomonas sp. RNAcentral's name for it is "bacterial SSU rRNA". It matches the Rfam family "Bacterial small subunit ribosomal RNA", at positions 31 to 809 of the family's 1533-position model. Lineage: Bacteria; Pseudomonadati; Pseudomonadota; Gammaproteobacteria; Lysobacterales; Lysobacteraceae. The record is from RNAcentral.
GAACGCUGGCGGCAGGCCUAAUACAUGCAAGUCGAACGGCAGCACAGUGGAGCUUGCUCCAUGGGUGGCGAGUGGCGGACGGGUGAGGAAUACAUGGGAAUCUGCCCAGUCGUGGGGGAUAACGUAGGGAAACUUACGCUAAUACCGCAUGCGCCCUUCGGGGGAAGGCCGGGGACCUUCGGGCCUGGCGCGAUUGGAUGAGCCCAUGUCGGAUUAGCUAGUUGGCGGGGUAAAGGCCCACCAAGGCGACGAUCCGUAGCUGGUCUGAGAGGAUGAUCAGCCACACUGGAACUGAGACACGGUCCAGACUCCUACGGGAGGCAGCAGUAGGGAAUAUUGGACAAUGGGCGCAAGCCUGAUCCAGCCAUGCCGCGUGAGUGAAGAAGGCCUUCGGGUUGUAAAGCUCUUUUGUCCGGAAAGAAAAGCAUCCAGUUAAUACCUGGAUGUCCUGACGGUACCGGAAGAAUUAGCACCGGCUAACUUCGUGCCAGCAGCCGCGGUAAUACGAAGGGUGCAAGCGUUACUCGGAAUUACUGGGCGUAAAGCGUGCGUAGGUGGUUUGUUAAGUCUGAUGUGAAAGCCCUGGGCUCAACCUGGGAAUGGCAUUGGAUACUGGCAGGCUAGAGUGCGGUAGAGGGCAGUGGAAUUCCCGGUGUAGCAGUGAAAUGCGUAGAGAUCGGGAGGAACAUCUGUGGCGAAGGCGACUGCCUGGACCAGCACUGACACUGAGGCACGAAAGCGUGGGGAGCAAACAGGAUUAGAUACCCUGGUAGUCCACGCCCUAAACGA